UGCACUUACUACUGUAAGUCGCUCUGGGUAAGAGUGUCUGCUGAAUGACAUGAA
Salmo salar (Atlantic salmon) is the source of this 54-nucleotide non-coding RNA. The record is from Rfam. NCBI's taxonomy places the organism in Eukaryota, Metazoa, Chordata, Actinopteri, Salmoniformes, Salmonidae.